Molecule: ribosomal RNA, 264 nt
Filed under: uncultured archaeon
Lineage: Archaea
Description: partial 16S ribosomal RNA
Rfam family: Archaeal small subunit ribosomal RNA
Source: RNAcentral
AGUCACUGACAUUAGAUACCCCUGUAGUCCAGGGUGUAAACGCUGCAGACUUGGUGUUGGAAGUCCUUUGGGGGCAUUCAGUGCCGGAGAGAAGUUGUUAAGUCUGCUACUUGGGAGUACGUCCGCAAGGAUGAAACUUAAAGGAAUUGGCGGGGGAGCACCGCAACGGGAGGAGCGUGCGGUUUAAUUGGAUUCAACACCGUAAAACUCACCAGGGAAGACUGUUACAUGAAAGCCGAGAUGAAGACUCUGCUAGAUUUUCAG